CCUACGUGCGGCAGCAGUGGGGAAUAUUGCACAAUGGCGGAAACCCUGAUGCAGCGAAGCCGCGUGAGUGAAGAAGUAAUUCGUUAUGUAAAGCCCUAUCAGCAGGGAAGCAAAUGACGGUACCUGAGUAAGAAGCCCCGGCUAACUACGUGCCAGCAGCCGCGGUAAUACGUAGGGGGCAAGCGUUAUCCGGAUUUACUGGGCGUAAAGGGAGCGUAGACGGCAGUGCAAGUCUGGAGUGAAAGGCGGGGGCCCAACCCCCGGACUGCUCUGGAAACUGUACGGCUGGAGUGCAGGAGAGGUAAGUGGAAUGCGUAGUGUAGCGGUGAAAUGCGUAGAUAUUAGGAGGAACACCAGUGGCGAAGGCGGCUUACUGGACUGUAACUGACGUUGAGGCUCGAAAGCGUGGGGAGCAAACAGGAUUAGAUACCCCAGUAGUC
RNAcentral lists this ribosomal RNA (440 nucleotides) under uncultured bacterium. RNAcentral describes it as "partial 16S ribosomal RNA". It matches the Rfam family "Bacterial small subunit ribosomal RNA", at positions 338 to 795 of the family's 1533-position model. The record is from RNAcentral.